RNAcentral lists this ribosomal RNA (346 nucleotides) under uncultured Pelotomaculum sp. RNAcentral's name for it is "bacterial SSU rRNA". It matches the Rfam family "Bacterial small subunit ribosomal RNA", at positions 1037 to 1374 of the family's 1533-position model. The record is from RNAcentral. Lineage: Bacteria; Bacillati; Bacillota; Clostridia; Eubacteriales; Desulfotomaculaceae.
GGUGGUGCAUGGUUGUCGUCAGCUCGUGUCGUGAGAUGUUGGGUUAAGUCCCGCAACGAGCGCAACCCCUACGUUUAGUUGCUAACGCGUGAAGGCGAGCACUCUAGACGAACUGCCGUUGACAAAACGGAGGAAGGUGGGAUGACGUCAAAUCAUCAUGCCCCUUAUGUUCUGGGCUACACACGUGCUACAAUGGCCGGUACAGACGGACGCAAAGCCGCGAGGUGGAGCAAAUCCUAAAAAGCCGGUCUCAGUUCGGAUUGCAGGCUGCAAUUCGCCUGCAUGAAGUCGGAAUCGCUAGUAAUCGCAGGUCAGCAUACUCGCGGUCCGAAUACGUUCCGGCCUU